AGUGAACGCUGGCGGUAGGCCUAACACAUGCAAGUCGAACGGCAGCACAGUAAGAGCUUGCUCUUACGGGUGGCGAGUGGCGGACGGGUGAGGAAUACAUCGGAAUCUACUUUUUCGUGGGGGAUAACGUAGGGAAACUUACGCUAAUACCGCAUACGACCUACGGGUGAAAGCAGGGGAUCUUCGGACCUUGCGCGAUUGAAUGAGCCGAUGUCGGAUUAGCUAGUUGGCGGGGUAAAGGCCCACCAAGGCGACGAUCCGUAGCUGGUCUGAGAGGAUGAUCAGCCACACUGGAACUGAGACACGGUCCAGACUCCUACGGGAGGCAGCAGUGGGGAAUAUUGGACAAUGGGCGCAAGCCUGAUCCAGCCAUACCGCGUGGGUGAAGAAGGCCUUCGGGUUGUAAAGCCCUUUUGUUGGGAAAGAAAAGCAGCAGGUUAAUACCCCGCUGUUCCGACGGUACCCAAAGAAUAAACACCGGCUAACUUCGU
This 491-nucleotide ribosomal RNA is filed under the name uncultured bacterium. RNAcentral describes it as "partial 16S ribosomal RNA". It matches the Rfam family "Bacterial small subunit ribosomal RNA", at positions 29 to 506 of the family's 1533-position model. The record is from RNAcentral.